This 540-nucleotide ribosomal RNA is filed under the name Scheffersomyces stipitis. RNAcentral describes it as "eukaryotic LSU rRNA". The stretch from base 221 to 374 matches the Rfam family "5.8S ribosomal RNA". Lineage: Eukaryota; Fungi; Ascomycota; Pichiomycetes; Serinales; Debaryomycetaceae. The record is from RNAcentral.
UUUCCGUAGGUGAACCUGCGGAAGGAUCAUUACAGUAUUCUUUUNGCCAGCGCUUAACUGCGCGGCGAAAAAACCUUACACACAGUGUUUUCUUUAUUAGAAACUAUUGCUUUGGUCNGGCUCAGAAAUGAGUUGGGCCAGAGGUUUACCAAACUUCAAUUUUAUUGAAUUGUUAUUUUAUUAAUUUGUCAAUUUGUUGAUUAAAUUCAAAUAUCUUCAAAACUUUCAACAACGGAUCUUUUGGUUCUCGCAUCGAUGAAGAACGCAGCGAAAUGCGAUAAGUAAUAUGAAUUGCUGAUUUUCGUGAAUCAUNGAAUCUAUGAACGCACAUUGCGCCCUUUGGUAUUACAAAGGGCAUGCCUGUNUGAGCGUCAUUUCUCUCUCAAACCCUNGGGUUUGGUAUUGAGUGAUAUUUUUAGUCGAACUAGGCGUUUGCUUGAAAAGUAUUGGCACGAGUGGUACUAAAUAGUACGACAGAAUAUUUCAAUGUAUUAGGUUUAUCCAACUCGUUGAGACUUCUCCGGUUAAUUUUUGGUAUCU